AGUGAACGCUGGCGGUAGGCCUAACACAUGCAAGUCGAACGGCAGCACAGUAAGAGCUUGCUCUUACGGGUGGCGAGUGGCGGACGGGUCAGGAAUACAUCGGAAUCUACUUUUUCGUGGGGGAUAACGUAGGGAAACCUACGCUAAUACCGCAUACGACCUACGGGUGAAAGCAGGGGAUCUUCGGACCUUGCGCGAUUGAAUGAGCCGAUGUCGGAUUAGCUAGUUGGCGGGGUAAAGGCCCACCAAGGCGACGAUCCGUAGCUGGUCUGAGAGGAUGAUCAGCCACACUGGGACUGAGACACGGCCCAGACUCCUACGGGAGGCAGCAGUGGGGAAUAUUGGACAAUGGGGGCAAGCCUGAUCCAGCCAUACCGCGUGGGGGAAGAAGGCCUUCGGGUUGUAAAGCCCUUUUGUUGGGAAAGAAAAGCAGCAGGUUAAUACCCCGCUGUUCUGACGGUACCCGAAGAAUAAGCACCGGCUAACUUCGUG
Molecule: ribosomal RNA, 492 nt
Filed under: uncultured bacterium
Lineage: Bacteria
Description: partial 16S ribosomal RNA
Rfam family: Bacterial small subunit ribosomal RNA
Source: RNAcentral